CUCCUUUGGGCCUCAUCGCUAACCACAGUUCCAUCGACGGCCUGGCGGUUGAGAACAUCACCUUCACCUUCAGCUCCACUCUCAUGACCGGAGGAUGCAGGGUGUCCGGCCAGUCCACCUCUCUGGGAUUCACCAGCCUUCUGGACAACGGCCUCAACUAUUGCAACCUGUACGAUCUGCUCUCAGCUAGCGGACUGGCCAGCGGACCUGGAUUCAUGGAGAUGACCAACGAGUGGGCUUGCCUGGGUUACGGACUUGCCACAUGCAAAGCUUGAAAGAAAAGAAAGAAAGAAAAAGAAAGCAACAAAAAACUUAUUCUGUCUUUUAAGCAUUCAAAUGGUGUCCUGCGCAUCUUAUAGUUGACGUUUGCCGAUGCUUGAUCGAAAC
Long non-coding RNA from Hippocampus comes (tiger tail seahorse), 387 nucleotides. RefSeq lists it as uncharacterized. The transcript has 3 exons. The record is from RefSeq and is a predicted model, not a curated record. NCBI's taxonomy places the organism in Eukaryota, Metazoa, Chordata, Actinopteri, Syngnathiformes, Syngnathidae.